AUGGAGUCGGCUGUACCAGUGAAGGAGAAGAAACUCCUGGAUGUCAAACUAGCAGAACUGCCAAACUAAAUAUUAACGUGUGAUCUCACACAAGAAGGCACUGUUGGAGCGUUCAGAGAGGUUACUACAGGUAUUAUGACAAGCACUCCAAUUUGAAGAAAGGGAGCUUCGACGGUGGUGCUGUGGUGCUGGCAGCUUACAUGCUUUUCCAUUAUUGUCUUUCUGAAAAGGAACACAAGCAUGGGCAGCUACAGAAG
Molecule: long non-coding RNA, 257 nt
Filed under: Homo sapiens (human)
Lineage: Eukaryota; Metazoa; Chordata; Mammalia; Primates; Hominidae
Description: non-protein coding lnc-ASH1L-3:1
Source: RNAcentral